This 4081-nucleotide ribosomal RNA is filed under the name Colletotrichum orbiculare MAFF 240422. RNAcentral's name for it is "Eukaryotic large subunit ribosomal RNA". It matches the Rfam family "Eukaryotic large subunit ribosomal RNA". Lineage: Eukaryota; Fungi; Ascomycota; Sordariomycetes; Glomerellales; Glomerellaceae. The record is from Rfam by way of RNAcentral.
UAACUUUAGAUUAAAUAGGAAUAUUUAUUAAAUUUAAAUAUAUUAAUAAGUAGAAGAAAAGAAACUAAUAGGGAUUAUUUUAGUAAUAACGAGUAAAAUAGUAAUAGCUUAAAUUUAAAAUCUAGCUACUAAGGUUUAAAUUAUAAUUUAUAAAAGAUAUUUUAAAUAUAAUAUUUCUUAAGUUCUUUAGAAUAAGAUAUUAUAAGAAAUAAAAGUUCUAUAUAAUUAGAUAUUAAGUUUAUAUAAAGCUUUUUUAAUAAGUUAAAUAAUUUGGGAAUACUAUUUAAAAUAAGAAGUAUAUUUUUUCUAAAACUAAAUACUAGCUAGAAACUAAUAAUAUAUAAGUAGAAUAAUUAAAAAAUGAAAAAUAUUUUGAAAGAAAAGUUAAAUAGUAUAUAAAAUUAUUAAAAAAGAAAUAUUUAUAACUAGACUUAUACUUAAUAGAUUAUCUAACUUUUACAAUAAGAGUAUUCUACUAACUUAAGCUAGUAUUAGCUUACUAUUAAAAAUAAAAACUUUGAGAAUAUAGCUUUUUCUAAAGAGUAUUAUAGCCUCUUAUAUAAUAUUUUUUAGUAGGUUAAAAUAUAUACUCCAUAAAGAUACUAGUAUAAUAGUUAUUAGCGACCUAUCUUAAAAUACAAAUUAAAAAGUUAACUUUAUAUAUGAAUAUUGAGAUAUUAAACCUUUAUAUAUAAUAAAAAUAAAUAUAAAUAAGAGUUUUAAUAUAUUAUUAACUAAUCUUAAUAUUUUUAAAUAGAUUUAAAUAAGAAUAUAUAAGAUUAAAUUUAAAAGAAAAUAAACUAUAUAUAUAUAAGAUAAAACUAGAGGAAACUCUAGUAGAAGCUUAUAGUAGUUCUAAUAUAUAAAUUAAUUAUUAAAUAUAUAUAUAGAAAUAAAAAACUAAUUAAACUUUUUAGUAGCUAGUUUCUACUAAAGUUUCCCUUAGGAUAGUAAUAUUAAACUUAGUUUUAUAAAGUAAAGUAAAUAAUUAGGGACUUAGGGGUGCUAUAUUAUUUUUAUUUAUUUUUAAAUUUUAAAUAUAUAAGAAGCUUUUAUUAUUUAGUUAAAUAUAAAUAUUUAAAUAUAUUAAUACUAGUAGGCUAUUUUUAGUAAGUAGAAUUAGUAAUAUAAGAUAAAUUAAAUAUAAGGUUAGAAUAUUAGAAUAAAUACUUAUUAGAUAUUAUAAAAAGUAUUAAUAUAUUUUAAUAGUAAGAUAAUAAUUAUAAAAGUUGGAAUCUACUAAAGAUUAUAUAAUAAUUUACUUAUUAAAUAUAUUAAUUUUAAAAAUAAAUAGUAUUUAAACAUCUUAUUUAUAUUUCACUUUUAGUAUAAAAAUGAUAUACUAAGGAGUAGGUAGAUACAGAAAUUAAUAAUAAAAUUUAAAGUAUAAGCUUAAGUAGAAUAACUUCUAGUAUAGAUCUUAGUAGUAAUAGUAAAUAUUUUAAUAAGAAUUUAAAGGAUUAAAAUAAGGAAAAGUUUUAUAUAAAUAGUAGUUAGAUAUAGGUUAGUUAAUUCUAAGCUAUAGGGAAGUUCUAUUUUAAAGGGGUAAUUAUAUUUUAUAUAGUAAAAAAGAAGCUAGUUAAUAUUCUAGUAUUUAGAUAUAGGUUUUAUAUAGUAAUAUAACUAAAUAUAGAAAUAAUAGUAAGGACUUUAAAUAGAGUUUUCUUUUCUUCUUAAUAAUUUAUUAUUUUAAAAUUAGUUUAUCUAGAAUUAAAGUUUAAUAGUUAGAAGAGUUUAGUAUUUCUAUUAGGUCUAAUAUACUUUUAAUAUUUUUUGAAAAUCUAUAAGAAGGAAUAAUUCUUACGUUAAGUUAUACUUAUAACUAUAAUAAGUUUUUAAAAUAAAUAGUUUUUAGUUAAUAGAAUAAUAUAGAUAAGGGAAAUUAGUAAAAUAGAUUUAUAAUUUUAAGAUUAAGAUUAGCUCUAAAAGUUAGAUAUAUUAAGUUUUAAGUAGAUAACCUAGGAAUAAAUUACUACUAAUUAACUAACUAACUAGAAGUUUCUAGUAUUUAGAUUCUAAUAUUUUUAGUAGGUUUUAGCUAUUUAGUAUAUAGUUAAUAAUUAAUUUAGAAUUAGUAUAAAUAAGGGGAAUCUAACUAUCUAAUUAAAAUAUAGUAUUAUAAUAGCUAGAAAGUAGUAUUAAUAUAAUAUAAUUUCUACUUAGUAUUCUAAAUAUUAAAAUAAAGUAAUUUAACUAAGUAUAAGUAAAUAGUAGGAAUAAUUAUAAUUUAACUAAGAAGGUUAUUAGAAUAAUACUGAAAAAAGUAACUACUAAUAAGGCUUUAUAUCUUAUAAUACUAUUAAAUUAUAAAGACUUCUUAAAACUUUCUAUUACUAUAAUUAGUUAGAAAUAGCUAAUAUAAUAUUUAAGUUAACAGCUUAGGGGAUAGUAAUAAUAUAAUUAGUAUAAGAUAACUAUAUAACUAAGUCUUAUAUCUUUCUUAUAAGAAAUAAAAGUAUAAUUUAAUAACUAAAUAGUAGUAAGUUUAGGGAGUACUAUAAUAUAUAUUUAAGUUUAAGAUAUAAUCUAUAGUAAGUUGAAAAGCUAGUACUAAUAUAUAAGUUUUUAAAAUAGCUAAAUACCUUAUUAUCUAAUUAGUAAUAUAUAUAAAUAGAUUAAUAAGAUUCCUACUAUUCCUAUCUAUUAUUUAGUAAAACUAUAGCUAAAGGAAUAGGUUUAGUAGAAUUAGUAGGGAAAGAAGACCCUAUUAAGCUUAAUUCUAGUUUAAUAUUAUAAAAAAUAUAGGAGGUAUAGAAUAAGUAGGAGUUUUAGUAUUAGUAAAAUAUUAUUAUUCCUAUUGUUUUUUUAUUUAUUUAAUAAAGUAGGGCUAGAUUUAUAUCUAACUUCUAGUUUUAAGGUUUUUUAUAAGUUAACUUAAGUUGAAGAUAUUAUUAAGUAGGAAGUUUAGCUAGAGUAAUAUAUCUAUUAAACUAUAAUAUAAAUAUUUUAAGAGGGGUUUAUAGAAAAUAGAAAUUUCUAGUAGAAUAAAAAGAUAAAAGUCUUCUUAAUUUUAAUUUUUAAUAUAAAUAUAAAUUAUAAAAAUAUAACUUAUUAAUUUUUUAGUUUCUUAAAAUUCAAAAUUAGAAGUAUUAGAAAAGUUAUUAUAAGGAUUAAUAAUUAGUCCUAAGUAUUAUAAUAGAAAGUAGUAUUUAGUUUAAUACUUUCUAUAUAAUACUAGAAAGUAUUUAUUAUUUCUAGUAAUUUAGUAUAACUUCUAAUUAGAACUAUAAGUAAAAUAUCUAGAUAUAGGGAAGCUUUAGUAAGUUAGUAGUAGUAAGCUUUAGAAUAAUACUUUAUAGUAAAGUUUUUUCCAAAAUAGCUAAUAAUCUGCUAAAUAGAAGUAAUCUAUAACUAAUCUAACUAUAGCUAAGUAGUUUAAUACUUAGUAAGGUAUUAGUAAGAAGGCGACUUCUUAUUUAAAAUAUAAACUAUACCUACUUAAGAAAGUAUUAUAUCUACUAGCUAUAUUAGCUGCAAAGUAUAAAGUAAGCUAUACUAUUAUAACCUAUAGGUAUUAUAGAACUAGCUUAUAGUAACUAAGUAUUUAUAGUAAUAUUACUUUUUAAUCCUUUAAUAUUAGUUCUUCCUAUUAUACUAAAGUAGAAUUUAAUAAGUAUUAGAUUAUUUACCUACUAAUAGGGAAUAUAAGCUAGGUUUAAAUUAUUAUAAAAUAAGUUAGUUUUACCUUAUUAAUAACUUUAUUAUAAUAGUAAUUGAACUUAGUAUAAGAAGAACUACUUUUUUAGAUAAUUAGUUUUUAUAACUAUCCGACUAAGUAGUAUUAUAAUACUACUAUCUACUAGAUAAUAGCUAAAUGUUUCUAAAUUAGAAUCUAUAUUAGAAUAUAAUAAUACUUCCUAUAUAUAUAGAUAGAUAUAAAUAAGCUUUAGUUUAGUAUUUUAGUAGGUAAUUAUUCUACUAUUUUUAAAGUAGGUAGUAGUAUUUCGCGAAUUAUAAUUUUAGUAUAAGUAAGGUUAAAUUUUUUAUAGAUAAUUUAAAUAUAUAAAAGGAUCCUAUAAGUAGUAGAAUAACUUUAUUAUUAUAAUUUACUAAAAGUAAGCUUUUUUUUACCUUAAUUUCC